RNAcentral lists this ribosomal RNA (384 nucleotides) under uncultured bacterium. Its description in RNAcentral is "bacterial SSU rRNA". It matches the Rfam family "Bacterial small subunit ribosomal RNA", at positions 29 to 416 of the family's 1533-position model. The record is from RNAcentral.
AUUGAACGCUGGCGGCAUGCCUUACACAUGCAAGUCGAACGGUAGAGGGCUUCGGCCCUUGAGAGUGGCGAACGGGUGAGUAAAGCAUCGGAACGUACCCUGUCGAGGGGGAUAACGUAGCGAAAGUUACGCUGAUACCGCAUAAGACCUGAGGGUGAAAGUGGGGGACUGGAAACGGCCUCACGCGAUGGGAGCGGCCGAUGUCGGAUUAGCUAGUUGGUGGGGUAAAGGCCUACCAAGGCGACGAUCCGUAGCGGGUCUGAGAGGAUGAUCCGCCACACUGGGACUGAGACACGGCCCAGACUCCUACGGGAGGCAGCAGUGGGGAAUUUUGGACAAUGGGCGCAAGCCUGAUCCAGCCAUGCCGCGUGGGUGAAGAAGGCC